This 253-nucleotide ribosomal RNA is filed under the name uncultured bacterium. RNAcentral describes it as "partial 16S ribosomal RNA". It matches the Rfam family "Bacterial small subunit ribosomal RNA", at positions 524 to 776 of the family's 1533-position model. The record is from RNAcentral.
UACGUAGGUGGCAAGCGUUGUCCGGAUUUACUGGGCGUAAAGAGCGCGCAGGCGGUCGUUCAAGUCGCGUGUGAAAGCCCCCGGCUCAACUGGGGAGGGUCACGCGAUACUGAUCGACUCGAAGGCAGGAGAGGGUAGUGGAAUUCCCGGUGUAGUGGUGCAAUGCGUAGAUAUCGGGAGGAACACCAGUGGCGAAGGCGACUACCUGGCCUGUUCUUGACGCUGAGGCGCGAAAGCUAGGGGAGCAAACAGG